RNAcentral lists this ribosomal RNA (497 nucleotides) under uncultured bacterium. RNAcentral describes it as "partial 16S ribosomal RNA". It matches the Rfam family "Bacterial small subunit ribosomal RNA", at positions 28 to 507 of the family's 1533-position model. The record is from RNAcentral.
GAUGAACGCUGGCGGCGUGCCUAAUACAUGCAAGUCGAGCGAACGGACGAGAAGCUUGCUUCUCUGAUGUUAACGGCGGACGGGUGAGUAACACGUGGAUAACCUACCUAUAAGACUGGGAUAACUUCGGGAAACCGGAGCUAAUACCGGAUAAUAUUUUGAACCGCAUGGUUCAAAAGUGAAAGACGGUCUUGCUGUCACUUAUAGAUGGAUCCGCGCUGCAUUAGCUAGUUGGUAAGGUAACGGCUUACCAAGGCAACGAUGCAUAGCCGACCUGAGAGGGUGAUCGGCCACACUGGAACUGAGACACGGUCCAGACUCCUACGGGAGGCAGCAGUAGGGAAUCUUCCGCAAUGGGCGAAAGCCUGACGGAGCAACGCCGCGUGAGUGAUGAAGGUCUUCGGAUCGUAAAACUCUGUUAUUGGGGAAGAACAUAUGUGUAAGUAACUGUGCACAUCUUGACGGUACCUAAUCAGAAAGCCACGGCUAACUACGUG